This 253-nucleotide ribosomal RNA is filed under the name uncultured bacterium. RNAcentral's name for it is "partial 16S ribosomal RNA". It matches the Rfam family "Bacterial small subunit ribosomal RNA", at positions 524 to 776 of the family's 1533-position model. The record is from RNAcentral.
UACGAAGGGGGCAAGCGUUGUUCGGAAUUACUGGGCGUAAAGGGCGCGUAGGCGGCUUCGUCAGUCAGGUGUGAAAGCCCUGGGCUCAACCCGGGAACUGCAUUUGAUACUGCGAAGCUCGAAUCUCGGAGAGGUUGGUGGAAUUCCCAGUGUAGAGGUGAAAUUCGUAGAGAUUGGGAAGAACACCUGAGGCGAAGGCGGGUUGCUGGGCCGACACUGACGCUGAUGCGCGAAAGCCAGGGGAGCGAACGGG